RNAcentral lists this ribosomal RNA (305 nucleotides) under uncultured bacterium. RNAcentral's name for it is "bacterial SSU rRNA". It matches the Rfam family "Bacterial small subunit ribosomal RNA", at positions 335 to 657 of the family's 1533-position model. The record is from RNAcentral.
UGACCUAAGGGACGCAGCAGUGGGGAAUAUUGCACAAUGGGGGAAACCCUGAUGCAGCGACGCCGCGUGAGUGAAGAAGUAUUUCGGUAUGUAAAGCUCUAUCAGCAGGGAAGAUAAUGACGGUACCUGACUAAGAAGCCCCGGCUAACUACGUGCCAGCAGCCGCGGUAAUACGUAGGGGGCAAGCGUUAUCCGGAUUUACUGGGGGUAAAGGGAGCGUAGACGGCGCGGCAAGUCUGAAGUGAAAGGCAGGGGCUUAACCCCUGAACUGCUUUGGAAACUGGCAUGCUAGAGUGCUGGAGAGG